RNAcentral lists this ribosomal RNA (492 nucleotides) under uncultured bacterium. RNAcentral describes it as "partial 16S ribosomal RNA". It matches the Rfam family "Bacterial small subunit ribosomal RNA", at positions 29 to 507 of the family's 1533-position model. The record is from RNAcentral.
AGUGAACGCUGGCGGUAGGCUUAACACAUGCAAGUCGAACGGCAGCACAGUAAGAGCUUGCUCUUACGGGUGGCGAGUGGCGGACGUGUGAGGAAUACAUCGGAAUCUACUUUUUCGUGGGGGUUAACGUAGGGAAACUUACUCUAAUACCGCAUACGACCUACGGGUGAAGGCAGGGGAUCUUCGGACCUUGCGCGAUUGAAUGAGCCGAUGUCGGAUUAGCUAGUUGGCGGGGUAAAGGCCCACCAAGGCGACGAUCCUUAGCUGGUCUGAGAGGAUGAUCAGCCACACUGGAACUGAGACAAGGGCCAGACUCCUACGGGAGGCAGCAGUGGGGAAUAUUGGACAAUGGGCGCAAGCCUGAUCCAGCCAUACCGCGUGGGUGAAGAAGGCCUUCGGGUUGUAAAGCCCUUUUGUUGGGAAAGAAAAGCAGCAGGUUAAUACCCCGCUGUUCUGACGGUACCCAAAGAAUAAGCACCGGCUAACUUCGUG